GUUGUGGUCUUGAACCGUGGCUUCCGGAGCUAACGCGUUAAAUCGACCGCCUGGGGAGUACGGCCGCAAGGUUAAAACUCAAAUGAAUUGACGGGGGCCCGCACAAGCGGUGGAGCAUGUGGUUUAAUUCGAUGCAACGCGAAGAACCUUACCUACUCUUGACAUCCAGAGAAGACUGCAGAGAUGCGGUUGUGCCUUCGGGAACUCUGAGACAGGUGCUGCAUGGCUGUCGUCAGCUCGUGUUGUGAAAUGUUGGGUUAAGUCCCGCAACGAGCGCAACCCUUAUCCUUUGUUGCCAGCACUUCGGGUGGGAACUCAAGGGAGACUGCCGGUGAUAAACCGGAGGAAGGUGGGGAUGACGUCAAGUCAUCAUGGCCCUUACGAGUAGGGCUACACACGUGCUACAAUGGCGUAUACAAAGAGAAGCGACCUCGCGAGAGCAAGCGGACCUCAUAAAGUACGUCGUAGUCCGGAUUGGAGUCUGCAACUCGACUCCAUGAAGUCGGAAUCGCUAGUAAUCGUAGAUCAGAAUGCUACGGUGAAUACGUUCCCGGGCCUUGUACACACCGCCCGUCACACCAUGGGAGUGGGUUGCAAAAGAAGUAGGUAGCUUAACCUUCGGGAGGGCGCUUACCACUUUGUGAUUCAUGACUGGGGUGAAGUCGUAACAAGGGUAACC
RNAcentral lists this ribosomal RNA (679 nucleotides) under Dickeya oryzae. RNAcentral describes it as "bacterial SSU rRNA". It matches the Rfam family "Bacterial small subunit ribosomal RNA", at positions 823 to 1501 of the family's 1533-position model. The record is from RNAcentral. RNAcentral also lists the same sequence under 1 other name. Lineage: Bacteria; Pseudomonadati; Pseudomonadota; Gammaproteobacteria; Enterobacterales; Pectobacteriaceae.